AACGAACGCUGGCGGCAUGCCUAACACAUGCAAGUCGAACGAGACCUUCGGGUCUAGUGGCGCACGGGUGCGUAACGCGUGGGAACCUGCCCUUAGGUUCGGAAUAACUCCCCGAAAGGGGUGCUAAUACCGGAUAAUGUCUUCGGACCAAAGAUUUAUCGCCUUUGGAUGGGCCCGCGUUGGAUUAGCUAGUUGGUAGGGUAAAAGCCUACCAAGGCGACGAUCCAUAGCUGGUCUGAGAGGAUGAUCAGCCACACUGGGACUGAGACACGGCCCAGACUCCUACGGGAGGCAGCAGUGGGGAAUAUUGGACAAUGGGCGAAAGCCUGAUCCAGCAAUGCCGCGUGAGUGAUGAAGGCCGUAGGGUUGUAAAGCUCUUUUACCAGGGAUGAUAAUGACAGUACCGGGAGAAUAAGCUCCGGCUAACUCCGUG
This 433-nucleotide ribosomal RNA is filed under the name uncultured bacterium. RNAcentral's name for it is "partial 16S ribosomal RNA". It matches the Rfam family "Bacterial small subunit ribosomal RNA", at positions 29 to 507 of the family's 1533-position model. The record is from RNAcentral.